Molecule: ribosomal RNA, 815 nt
Filed under: uncultured Sphingobacteriales bacterium
Lineage: Bacteria; Pseudomonadati; Bacteroidota; Sphingobacteriia; Sphingobacteriales
Description: bacterial SSU rRNA
Rfam family: Bacterial small subunit ribosomal RNA
Source: RNAcentral
GCAAGUCGUGGGGCAGCAGGUCUGUAGCAAUACAGAUGCUGGCGACCGGCAAACGGGUGCGGAACACGUACACAACCUUCCUUUAAGUGGGGAAUAGCCCGGGGAAACCCGGAUUAAUACCCCGUAACAUAUUGAAAAGGCAUCUUUUUAAUAUUAAAGCUCCGGCGCUUAAUGAUGGGUGUGCGCCUGAUUAGGUAGUUGGCGGGGUAACGGCCCACCAAGCCUUCGAUCAGUAACUGGUGUGAGAGCACGACCAGUCACACGGGCACUGAGACACGGGCCCGACUCCUACGGGAGGCAGCAGUAAGGAAUAUUGGUCAAUGGACGCAAGUCUGAACCAGCCAUGCCGCGUGGAGGAUGAAGGUCCUCUGGAUUGUAAACUUCUUUUAUCUGGGACGAAAAAGGGUCUUUCUAGAUCAACUGACGGUACCAGAUGAAUAAGCACCGGCUAACUCCGUGCCAGCAGCCGCGGUAAUACGGAGGGUGCAAGCGUUAUCCGGAUUCACUGGGUUUAAAGGGUGCGUAGGUGGGUCUGUAAGUCAGUGGUGAAAUCCCCGAGCUUAACUUGGGAACUGCCAUUGAUACUAUAGCUCUUGAAUACUGUGGAGGUCAGCGGAAUAUGUCAUGUAGCGGUGAAAUGCUUAGAUAUGACAUAGAACACCAAUUGCGAAGGCAGCUGGCUACACAAAUAUUGACACUGAGGCACGAAAGCGUGGGGAUCAAACAGGAUUAGAUACCCUGGUAGUCCACGCCCUAAACUAUGGAUACUCGACAUUUGCGAUACACUGCAAGUGUCUGAGCGAAAGCAUUAAGUA